This 249-nucleotide ribosomal RNA is filed under the name uncultured bacterium. RNAcentral's name for it is "partial 16S ribosomal RNA". It matches the Rfam family "Bacterial small subunit ribosomal RNA", at positions 15 to 258 of the family's 1533-position model. The record is from RNAcentral.
GAUCCUGGCUCAGAUUGAACGCUGGCGGCAGGCUUAACACAUGCAAGUCGAACGGUAACAUAAAGAAGCUUGCUUCUUUUGAUGACGAGUGGCGGACGGGUGAGUAAUGCUUGGGAAUCUAGCUUAUGGAGGGGGAUAACUACGGGAAACUGUAGCUAAUACCGCGUAGAAUCGGGAGAUGAAAGUGUGGGACCUUCGGGCCACAUGCCAUAGGAUGAGCCCAAGUGGGGAUUAGGUAGUUGGUGAGGG